This 903-nucleotide ribosomal RNA is filed under the name uncultured Bacillota bacterium. Its description in RNAcentral is "bacterial SSU rRNA". It matches the Rfam family "Bacterial small subunit ribosomal RNA", at positions 1 to 917 of the family's 1533-position model. Lineage: Bacteria; Bacillati; Bacillota. The record is from RNAcentral.
UGGAUCCAGACUUUGAUUAUGGCUCAGGACGAACGCUGGCGGCGCGCCUAACACAUGCAAGUCGAACGAGAGAGAAGAAGCUUGCUUCUUUGAUCGAGUGGCGAACGGGUGAGUAACGCGUGAGGAACCUGCCUCAAAGAGGGGGAAAACAGUUGGAAACGACUGCUAAUACCGCAUAAGCCCACGGGUCGGCAUCGACCAGAGGGAAAAGGAGCAAUCCGCUUUGAGAUGGCCUCGCGUCCGAUUAGCUAGUUGGUGAGGUAACGGCCCACCAAGGCGACGAUCGGUAGCCGGACUGAGAGGUUGAACGGCCACAUUGGGACUGAGACACGGCCCAGACUCCUACGGGAGGCAGCAGUGGGGAAUAUUGCACAAUGGGGGAAACCCUGAUGCAGCGACGCCGCGUGGAGGAAGAAGGUCUUCGGAUUGUAAACUCCUGUUGUUGAGGAAGAUAAUGACGGUACUCAACAAGGAAGUGACGGCUAACUACGUGCCAGCAGCCGCGGUAAAACGUAGGUCACAAGCGUUGUCCGGAAUUACUGGGUGUAAAGGGAGCGCAGGCGGGAAGACAAGUUGGAAGUGAAAUCCAUGGGCUCAACCCAUGAACCGCUUUCAAAACUGUUUUUCUUGAGUAGUGCAGAGGUAGGCGGAAUUCCCGGUGUAGCGGUGGAAUGCGUAGAUAUCGGGAGGAACACCAGUGGCGAAGGCGGCCUACUGGGCACCAACUGACGCUGAGGCUCGAAAGUGUGAGUAGCAAACAGGAUUAGAUACCCUGGUAGUCCACACCGUAAACGAUGAUUACUAGGUGUUGGAGGAUUGACCCCUUCAGUGCCGCAGUUAACACAAUAAGUUAUCCACCUGGGGAGUACGACCGCAAGGUUGCAACUCAAAGGAAUUGACGGA